GCCGGGCGUGGUGGCUCACGCCUGUAAUCCCAGCACUUUGGGAGGCGGAGGCAAGCGGAUUACCUGAGGUCAGGAGUUCGAGACUAGCCUGGCUAACAUGGUAAAACCUUGUCUCUA
Non-coding RNA from Nomascus leucogenys (northern white-cheeked gibbon), 117 nucleotides. It matches the Rfam family "Metazoan signal recognition particle RNA". Rfam says of the family: The signal recognition particle (SRP) is a universally conserved ribonucleoprotein. It is involved in the co-translational targeting of proteins to membranes. The eukaryotic SRP consists of a 300-nucleotide 7S RNA and six proteins: SRPs 72, 68, 54, 19, 14, and 9. The record is from Rfam. NCBI's taxonomy places the organism in Eukaryota, Metazoa, Chordata, Mammalia, Primates, Hylobatidae.